AGCUCCCAGUGCAGUGGCACAGAGAGCUCUCCUCACUCCAUGCACCUGCUGUGUGUGCACGGAGAGACCCUGAUGACUCCCCUACCAGCUCCUGCUCCACACAAAUAUCCCAGAUCAAAUGCUGCAGCGGUAUUGGUGUGAAAGGAGAGUGAUAAUGGCUCCCCUUGGUUACACCUGCCACAGAGGACAGCUGCUAAUACUACCUGCACUUGCAGCCUGUGUAUGUUAAGCAUGAGUCAGCAGCACCGAGCUGGGAUAUGUGAUACAGGCCCAGUGAGAGCCCAUGGAUACUAAGCAGCAGGCAAUAAUGCACCCUGGAGUCUCUGAUACAGGCUGCAGCCUGAAGACGGAGCCUAAUGUGUCACUGGAGAAGCCAGUUCAGAUUACAGCCAGAGCCUGCACCUGCAUUCAGCUGACAUGUCUAGGCCAUAGAGUCUCUAGACAACAAUUGUCAGGGGAUGGGGUUUUCUGACACUGGAAAAGGAGAUCGAAUACCAAAGCCAGCCUAGGGAGACCAGCCAGCCAAAGACAGCCUGACCUGGGAUGAUCAUACCUGCUACAGCUGCCUAGGAAUUAGCUACUAUCCUGGAAGGUGCUCCAUGUGUGCAGAUCCCUGCAUCUCUAUGGAGCCCCAUUGACUUUAGCAGGGGCUCCCCACUGGGCUAAGAAUCUGCUCAUGCCGAACACCAUUCAAGACAAGUGCCUUGGACUGGAAGCUCUUCAGGGCAGGGACCGUGUUGAAUUUGUCUGGCUGGAAAACACUUUGGGCAUGGACUAAUUAUGCAUAAUUGUAAUGGCUGUAUUUCCACUGUAAAAUCCUGAGUGUUUUGGAGCAGUAGAUUGUAUAUAAACAAAAGUAUUGUUGUUUUAUUAUCGCAAAGGUUGAUUAUUUAAGCGGGACUGGCAGUCCAAGCCAACUCUGUUGCUAUUUCAAAGUCUGCAGGGAAGAUCUAUGACUGCUGAAAUGUGAAUUUGGCCCAAUAUUAGCAGUUAAAUAAAUACUUGACCCACGUAUUAGGAAAGGAUUUUAGGGAGAAAAUGGGUCUGGUAUAAUAUACACAGUCACUUUGGGAUUGCUGAUGGAAUCAAUCAAUCCAUAUUAUGGUUGCAACUGGCUCUUACACUGCUCCUGUCUGACAGCUGUGUACACCUUCUACCACCAAAACUGCGAUUCGCGCAGUGGUGUGUCUGGUAUUAUUUUGAGGCUCUAAAGAGAAGGAUGAGUUCCCUGGGGCUGCGUGUCUCAGAUAAUGUGCUGUAUUCUCUUCCACAUGGGAACAUGAGCUACAUUCACCCCAGCCUUUCUGUAUUAAAGACUACGUGACCUUUAUUGUGUUGCAGAGAGCAAACUCUCUCUCAGCAUGUUCAGCCAGCUGGAAAGGGCAGCCUCCUUGGGAGGCAGCAGCUGCUUUGAUGUGCUGAGGAAAUGCAGGGUCAGCUUGAUGGCUUUAUUUAUUUAUUUUUUUUCUGUUCAGCUCAUGAUUCCAUUUCAGUGGUGGCGCCCAAUUUUUCCCAAGUGAGGGACCGCAGAGAAGUAACAGGCCAGGAGCACAUGAGAGACAAUCUGACAGACAUAAGUAGCCAAAAAAGAAUCUGGUUGCAUCUGUCCUCAUCUUCCACGCAGUGACACAGCCUAUGGAGACUACAAGCCCCACUGUGCAAGGCUCCAUCUUGAAACCAGUGGACCUGUGAAACCUCAAAAUUAAUUUAAUAGUGGUGGGCUGUGUAUUUAUUUAUUUUUCCACAAAUUAUUGGUUUGGACUUUGGUUUAUUAGCUGUUCACCACACAGGCCCUGAUCUUGCCAGGAGCUCCAUGCAGGCAGCCCACAAACAGCUUGCUGCAGGAUCAAGGCCAGAGACUGUACGCUGUGAAGAGACUUUAAUAAGUGACAAUAAUGCAUAGGAAUGACUCUCUGCAAAUGGGAGGGAAUGGCUUAUUAGAUUAAUCCUCUGGUUUUUCACUCCAAGACACAGAUUCAAUCACCAAAGUGUUUGUAUGUGGUUCUUAUAUUGUUUGUUACCAUAAUAAAAGACAAAACCCCUUUCAUGCAGACCUGUGGAUAGCUAAAUAAAUAUGUUCUUUGAUGCAAGCUUUUUAAGAUUUCUGAGUGAUAAUGCAAACUGGGAUGAGGAACCUUCUGCCCUCUGGUGGGAGCAGAAUGAUUUAUUUUAUUUAUCUGUGUUAUGAAAUAACAAUGCCAAAAAGAAUAUAAUAAAGACUUCCUGCCUCUA
This is a long non-coding RNA of Mauremys reevesii (Reeves's turtle), 2232 nucleotides long. RefSeq lists it as uncharacterized. The record is from RefSeq and is a predicted model, not a curated record. The transcript is spliced from 2 exons. NCBI's taxonomy places the organism in Eukaryota, Metazoa, Chordata, Testudines, Geoemydidae.